This 253-nucleotide ribosomal RNA is filed under the name uncultured bacterium. Its description in RNAcentral is "partial 16S ribosomal RNA". It matches the Rfam family "Bacterial small subunit ribosomal RNA", at positions 524 to 776 of the family's 1533-position model. The record is from RNAcentral.
UACGGAGGGGGCUAGCGUUGUUCGGAAUUACUGGGCGUAAAGCGCGCGUAGGCGGCUUUGUAAGUUAGAGGUGAAAGCCCGGAGCUCAACUCCGGAACUGCCUUUAAGACUGCAUCGCUAGAAUUGUGGAGAGGUGAGUGGAAUUCCGAGUGUAGAGGUGAAAUUCGUAGAUAUUCGGAAGAACACCAGUGGCGAAGGCGACUACCUGGCCUGUUCUUGACGCUGAGGCGCGAAAGCUAGGGGAGCAAACGGG